This 253-nucleotide ribosomal RNA is filed under the name uncultured bacterium. Its description in RNAcentral is "partial 16S ribosomal RNA". It matches the Rfam family "Bacterial small subunit ribosomal RNA", at positions 524 to 776 of the family's 1533-position model. The record is from RNAcentral.
UACGGAGGGUGCGAGCGUUAAUCGGAAUUACUGGGCGUAAAGCGAACGCAGGCGGUUGGUUAAGCAAGAUGUGAAAUCCCCGGGCUUAACCCGGGAAUUGCAUCUGAAACUGGGCAACUAGAGUGUUGGAGAGGGGGGUAGAAUUCCACGUGUAGCGGUGAAAUGCGUAGAGAUGUGGAGGAAUACCGGUGGCGAAGGCGGCCCCCUGGACUAACACUGACGCUCAUGUGCGAAAGCGUGGGGAGCAAACAGG